UGUCUCAAACCUCUCGGUAUCUCACUUCUACAUCGGCAGAGUGAAUGUUAUCCUGGCCCCUGUGCACUGCCAGCCAUAUCAGUCCAUUCACUGACACUG
Molecule: long non-coding RNA, 99 nt
Organism: Nanorana parkeri
Lineage: Eukaryota; Metazoa; Chordata; Amphibia; Anura; Dicroglossidae
Exons: 3
Source: RefSeq, a predicted model, not a curated record